GAAACUUAAAGGAAUUGGCGGGGGAGCACAGCAACGGGUGGAGCGUGCGGUUUAAUUGGAUUCAACGCCGGAAAACUCACCGGAGGCGACGGUUACAUGAAGGCCAGGCUGAUGACCUUGCCUGAUUUUCCGAGAGGUGGUGCAUGGCCGCCGUCAGUUCGUACCGUAAGGCGUUCUGUUAAGUCAGAUAACGAACGAGACCCUCAUCCUUAGUUGCUACUAACAACUCCGGUUGUUAGGCACAUUAAGGAGACCGCUGACGAUAAGUCAGAGGAAGGCGAGGGCAACGGUAGGUCAGUAUGCCCUGAAUCCUUCGGGCUACACGCGCGCUACAAAGGCCAGGACAAUGGGUUUCGACACCGAAAGGUGAAGGUAAUCCCGAAACCUGGUCAUAGUUCGGAUUGAGGGUUGAAACUCACCCUCAUGAAGCUGGAAUCCGUAGUAAUCGCGGAUCAACAUCCCGCGGUGAAUAUGCCCCUGCUCCUUGCACACACCGCCCGUCAAACCAUGCGAGUUGGGUCCAAGUGAGGAUGUAGUAUUUUGCUGCGUUCAAACUUGGGCUUAGCAAGCGGGGUUAAGUCGUAACAA
Molecule: ribosomal RNA, 588 nt
Filed under: uncultured euryarchaeote
Lineage: Archaea; Methanobacteriati; Methanobacteriota
Description: bacterial SSU rRNA
Rfam family: Archaeal small subunit ribosomal RNA
Source: RNAcentral